RNAcentral lists this ribosomal RNA (207 nucleotides) under uncultured bacterium. Its description in RNAcentral is "partial 16S ribosomal RNA". It matches the Rfam family "Bacterial small subunit ribosomal RNA", at positions 28 to 238 of the family's 1533-position model. The record is from RNAcentral.
GACGAACGCUGGCGGCGUGCUUAACACAUGCAAGUCGAACGAUGAAGCCUUUCGGGGUGGAUUAGUGGCGAACGGGUGAGUAACACGUGGGCAAUCUGCCCUGUACUUUGGGAUAAGCCUUGGAAACGGGGUCUAAUACCGGAUAUCACUUACCUCCGCAUGGGGGUUUGUUGAAAGUUCUGGCGGUACAGGAUGACGCCCGCGGCC